ACUCCUACGGGAGGCAGCAGUGGGGAAUAUUGCACAAUGGGCGCAAGCCUGAUGCAGCAACGCCGUGUGAGUGAAGAAGGUUUUCGGAUCGUAAACUCUGUCCUAAGGGAAGAAACAAAUGACGGUACCUUAGGAGGAAGCCCCGGCUAACUACGUGCCAGCAGCCGCGGUAAUACGUAGGGGGCAAGCGUUUAUCCGGAAUCACUGGGCGUAAAGGGUGCGUAGGCGGCUUAGCAAGCCAGGGGUGAAAGGCAUUGGCUCAACCAAUGUAAGCCUUUGGAACUGUUAAGCUUGAGUGCAGGAGAGGUAAGUGGAAUUCCUAGUGUAGAGGUGAAAUUCGUAGAUAUUAGGAGGAACACCAGUGGCGAAGGCGACUUACUGGACUGUAACUGACGCUGAUGCACGAAAGCGU
Molecule: ribosomal RNA, 412 nt
Filed under: uncultured bacterium
Lineage: Bacteria
Description: bacterial SSU rRNA
Rfam family: Bacterial small subunit ribosomal RNA
Source: RNAcentral